UUUCCGUAGGUGAACCUGCGGAAGGAUCAUUAAAAAUGUGGUACCAUUUUGGUACUAAUUAAUCAUCCUACCCUUUGUGAAUUUGUUUGUAGAAUUUUUUUAAAUGGGUCUUCCCUAAGUUGGAUUGUAGUAAAAUACAAAAGACUUAGGGGAAUGACUUUUUAAAAGACUUUUUUUAAUUAAAACUUUUUGUAUUCAUUUGUCUAAAAUUUAUUUUUAUAAUAUAAAACAACUUUUGACAAUGGAUCUCUUGGUUCUCGCAACGAUGAAGAACGCAGCAAAUGCGAUAAGUAGUGUGAAUUGCAGAAUACGUGAAUCAUCGAAUCUUCGAACGCAUAUUGCACUUUUUAGUUUACUAAAAAAGUAUGUCUGUUUGAGUAUCAGUAAAAUAUUCUCACAAACAUAUAUUGUUUGUGGUUAUGAGUGUUUUACAACGAUAACAAGUUGUUUCACUUUAAAUUCUUUUAUUGAAUUUUUACCAAUUUACAAAUUAAAAUUGGAUAAAAUUUUCCUUAACGAGGAAUAACCUAAACAAUUUAAAUUUUUGGAUUGUAAUUCACAAAGGAAUCUAUACACAAAUAACUUGAUCUCAAUCAGAUAAGAGUACCCGCUGAACUUAAGCAUAUCAAUAAGCGGAGGAAAAGAAACUAACAAGGAUUCCCUUAGUAACGGCGAGUGAAGCGGGAAGAGCUCAAAUUUGAAAUCUUCAAGGUUUGACCUUGACGAAUUGUAGUUUAUAGAAGUGUUUUCUGUUGAGUUUUGGUAAAGUUCUUUGGAAUAGGACAUCAUAGAGGGUGAGAAUCCCGUAUUUGACCAUGACUUUCCAGCUGUGUGAUACACUUUCAAAGAGUCGGAUUGUUUGGGAAUGCAGUCCAAAUGGGUGGUAAAUUUCAUCUAAAGCUAAAUGUUGGCGAGAGACCGAUAGCGAACAAGUACCGUGAGGGAAAGAUGAAAGAACUUUGAAAAGAGAGUUAAACAGUACGUGAAAUUGUCAAAAGGGAAGCGUUUGACACCAGUGUUGUUUUCUCGAAAUCAAUUUAAUGAGUUCUUGUUUUUAAGUUAUUGUGACUUUAUCAGCGCAUUUCUUAUUUUACUUGACUCAUUGAAUGCACUUUUCGUUUAACAAGUCAACAUCAUUCUUUGGUGGUAAAAGUUAAAGGAAGGUGGCUUGGACUUCGGUUCAAGUGUUAUAGCCUUUUUUCUAUGCCAUCGGAGAGAUUGAGGUCUGCAGCGUAGAUCCUUCGGGGUUAGAUACCUUUGUGCUAAGUUAUAGUUUUUUAUAGACAACUUGUUGACUAUAAUUAACCCUGUAAUUUACUCGCUUAGGCUAUUUUACCUACGCUUAGGAUGUUGAG
RNAcentral lists this unclassified non-coding RNA (1355 nucleotides) under uncultured Neocallimastigales. RNAcentral's name for it is "partial contains small subunit ribosomal RNA, internal transcribed spacer 1, 5.8S ribosomal RNA, internal transcribed spacer 2, and large subunit ribosomal RNA". The stretch from base 585 to 1355 matches the Rfam family "Eukaryotic large subunit ribosomal RNA", at positions 1 to 630 of the family's 3401-position model. The record is from RNAcentral. Lineage: Eukaryota; Fungi; Neocallimastigomycota; Neocallimastigomycetes; Neocallimastigales.